Meleagris gallopavo (turkey) is the source of this 865-nucleotide non-coding RNA. The record is from RefSeq and is a predicted model, not a curated record. Lineage: Eukaryota; Metazoa; Chordata; Aves; Galliformes; Phasianidae.
GAGGGUCGUCUCACCUACAGCAGUCUGUGCCUGCUAGAGCUGCUCUCAAAGAUGGGACGGAACCCGAGGAUCUGUGAGGGCUCUGCGAAAGCAGGAGCAGAAGGAGAAGGAAGGCGCGGGCAUGGUGCUGUGCGGGGGGCUGGGGCUCUGAGGGGGUUGGAAUGGUCGCGAGGUGGGUUAGUGGAUCACGUUCUUCUUAAAGAAAAUAAAACGAAACUUGAGUGCGUGCGUCUCGCAUGCAGCUGCUCCGUGUCAGGGCAGGCAGUCCUCGUUCUGUGGCAGUGUUCGUUUCCUAUUUCCCUCAGCUGUGCACAUCUGUGAGUCUUCUGGAAGCGCUGAGCUCUGGGUCUUCCUCAGAAAUGUGGAGGAUCCCGGAUGUAUUUCUUUACACUCAUUUGGUGGUGCAGAAGACAUUAGAUUUGAAUGGUUCCCUCCACCUUCCCCCACCCCAACAAGCCCUCGGCCAAGAUUUGUUGGACCCUGCAGGAAGAGUUGAAUUACUCCAACCAUGUGGACAUUGCAGCCUUAAAGGUGAAGAUAUGCCAGCUGAGACAACGCAUACAGAAAGUAAACAACUAUGCUCAGGGUAAUGACUGUUUCACUUUCUGUCUGCAGACCUAUACUACACAUUUCCACUUUUAUUCUUCCACUCAGGCUCAACUUUUCCUCUUACAGUGCUUAGUAGUGAAGGAGGGGAAAAAAAAAUACAGACCGUGGUAACGAGGCACUUUUUGUUAGUUAGGGAAGGGAGAGGACUGGGGUCUGCACACUAACCUGCAGGAAACAUCUGUAUUUGGAACAGUGGUUUUAAAGCCCAGCUGGCUGAGCUCUACCUUCCACCUUCCUGAAGCAAGUUUGUUCCUGA